This 405-nucleotide ribosomal RNA is filed under the name uncultured bacterium. Its description in RNAcentral is "bacterial SSU rRNA". It matches the Rfam family "Bacterial small subunit ribosomal RNA", at positions 370 to 772 of the family's 1533-position model. The record is from RNAcentral.
AAUGGGUGCAAGCCUGAACCAGCCAUGCCGCGUGAAGGAUUAAGGUUCUAUGAAUUGUAAACUUCUUUUAUCAGGGAAAAAACCCUUGGACGUGUCCGAGGCUGAUGGUACCUGAAGAAUAAGGAUCGGCUAACUCCGUGCCAGCAGCCGCGGUAAUACGGAGGAUCCAAGCGUUAUCCGGAUUCACUGGGUUUAAAGGGUGUGUAGGCGGAGCAUUAAGUCAGUGGUGAAAUCCUGUCGCUUAACGACAGAACUGCCAUAGAAACUGAUGCUCUUGAAUGUGGUUGAGGUAAGCGGAAUGUGUGGUGUAGCGGUGAAAUGCUUAGAUAUCACACAGAACACCUAUUGCGAAGGCAGCUUGCUAAGCCAUGAUUGACGCUGAGACACGAAAGCGUGGGGAUCAAA